RNAcentral lists this ribosomal RNA (207 nucleotides) under Pseudomonas aeruginosa. Its description in RNAcentral is "partial 16S ribosomal RNA". The stretch from base 41 to 207 matches the Rfam family "Bacterial small subunit ribosomal RNA", at positions 1 to 167 of the family's 1533-position model. The record is from RNAcentral. Lineage: Bacteria; Pseudomonadati; Pseudomonadota; Gammaproteobacteria; Pseudomonadales; Pseudomonadaceae.
UGAGCCAAGUUUAGGGUUUUCUCAAAACCCAAGCAGUAUUGAACUGAAGAGUUUGAUCAUGGCUCAGAUUGAACGCUGGCGGCAGGCCUAACACAUGCAAGUCGAGCGGAUGAAGGGRGCUUGCUCCUGGAUUCAGCGGCGGACGGGUGAGUAAUGCCUAGGAAUCUGCCUGGUAGUGGGGGAUAACGUCCGGAAACGGGCGCUAAU